Molecule: ribosomal RNA, 460 nt
Filed under: uncultured bacterium
Lineage: Bacteria
Description: partial 16S ribosomal RNA
Rfam family: Bacterial small subunit ribosomal RNA
Source: RNAcentral
CCUACGGGGUGCAGCAGUGAGGAAUAUUGGUCAAUGGACGAGAGUCUGAACCAGCCAAGCAGCGUGAAGGAUGACUGCCCUAUGGGUUGUAAACUUCUUUUAUAUGGGAAUAAAAUGUUCCACGUGUGGGAUUUUGUAUGUACCAUACGAAUAAGGAUCGGCUAACUCCGUGCCAGCAGCCGCGGUAAUACGGAGGAUCCGAGCGUUAUCCGGAUUUAUUGGGUUUAACGGGAGCGUAGGUGGAUUGUUAAGUCAGUUGUGAAAGUUUGGGGCUCAACCGUAGAAUUGAAGUUGAGACUGGCAGUCUAGAGUGCAGUAGAGGUGGGCUGAAUUAGUGGUGUAGCGGUGAAAUGCUUAGAUAUCACGAAGAACUCCGAUUGCGAAGGCAGCUCCCUGGACUGCAACUGACGCUGAGGCUCGAAAGUGUGGGUAUCAAACAGGAUUAGAUACCCUUGUAGUC